CAGUCGCCGCGGUAAAACGUAGGGCGCAAGCGUUGUCCGGAAUUAUUGGGCGUAAAGAGCUCGUAGGCGGUCUGUCGCGUCUGGUGUGAAAUCCCGAGGCUCAACCUCGGGCUUGCAUCGGGUACGGGCAGACUAGAGUGCGGUAGGGGAGACUGGAAUUCCUGGUGUAGCGGUGGAAUGCGCAGAUAUCAGGAGGAACACCGAUGGCGAAGGCAGGUCUCUGGGCCGCAACUGACGCUGAGGAGCGAAAGCAUGGGGAGCGAACAGGAUUAGAUACCCCAGUAGUCCCUGUCUCUUAUAU
This 301-nucleotide ribosomal RNA is filed under the name uncultured bacterium. RNAcentral's name for it is "partial 16S ribosomal RNA". It matches the Rfam family "Bacterial small subunit ribosomal RNA", at positions 509 to 809 of the family's 1533-position model. The record is from RNAcentral.